This 188-nucleotide ribosomal RNA is filed under the name Vibrio ostreicida. RNAcentral's name for it is "partial 23S ribosomal RNA". The stretch from base 1 to 168 matches the Rfam family "Bacterial large subunit ribosomal RNA", at positions 2763 to 2925 of the family's 2925-position model. The record is from RNAcentral. Lineage: Bacteria; Pseudomonadati; Pseudomonadota; Gammaproteobacteria; Vibrionales; Vibrionaceae.
GAUAACCGCUGAAAGCAUCUAAGCGGGAAGCGAGCCCUGAGAUGAGUCUUCCCUGGCACAUUAAGUGCCCUUAAGGGUUGUUCAAGACUAGAACGUUGAUAGGCAGGGUGUGUAAGUGCUGCGAGGCAUUGAGCUAACCUGUACUAAUUGCCCGUGAGGCUUAACCAUACAACACCCAAAGGGUUUUG